UAACACCGGGAAACUGGUGCUAAUACCGCAUGACAUCUUCGGGUCACACUGAAGAUCAAAGCCGGGGACCGCAAGGCCUGGCGCUUGGAGAGGAGCCCGCGUCCGAUUAGCUAGUUGGUGGGGUAAUGGCCUACCAAGGCUUCGAUCGGUAGCCGGCCUUAGAGGGCGGACGGCCACACUGGGACUGAGACACGGCCCAGACUCCUACGGGAGGCAGCAGUGGGGAAUUUUUUUUCGCAGUGGGGGAAACCCUGACGAAGCAACGCCGCGUGGAGGAUGAAGGUCUUCGGAUUGUAAACUCCUGUCGACCGGGACGAAAGUAGUCUGACCCAACACGUCAGGCUAUUGACUGUACCGGUGGAGGAAGCCAC
This 371-nucleotide ribosomal RNA is filed under the name uncultured Acidobacteriota bacterium. Its description in RNAcentral is "bacterial SSU rRNA". It matches the Rfam family "Bacterial small subunit ribosomal RNA", at positions 144 to 494 of the family's 1533-position model. Lineage: Bacteria; Pseudomonadati; Acidobacteriota. The record is from RNAcentral.